AGAGUUUGAUCCUGGCGUCAGGACGAACGCUGGCGGCGUGCUUAACACAUGCAAGUCGAACGGAAAGGCCUCUUCGGAGGUACUCGAGUGGCGAACGGGUGAGUAACACGUGGGCAAUCUGCCCUGCACUUCGGGAUAAGCCUGGGAAACUGGGUCUAAUACCGGAUAGGACCUCAAGACGCAUGUCUUCUGGUGGAAAGCUUUUGCGGUGUGGGAUGGGCCCGCGGCCUAUCAGCUUGUUGGUGGGGUGACGGCCCUACCAAGGCGACGACGGGUAGCCGGCCUGAGAGGGUGUCCGGCCACACUGGGACUGAGAUACGGCCCAGACUCCUACGGGAGGCAGCAGAAGGG
This 351-nucleotide ribosomal RNA is filed under the name uncultured Mycobacterium sp. RNAcentral describes it as "bacterial SSU rRNA". It matches the Rfam family "Bacterial small subunit ribosomal RNA", at positions 8 to 359 of the family's 1533-position model. Lineage: Bacteria; Bacillati; Actinomycetota; Actinomycetes; Mycobacteriales; Mycobacteriaceae. The record is from RNAcentral.